UACGGAGGGUGCAAGCGUUAUCCGGAUUCACUGGGUUUAAAGGGUGCGUAGGAGGGCAGGGAAGUCAGUGGUGAAAUCUCCGGGCUUAACUCGGAAACUGCCGUUGAUACUCUCUGUCUUGAAUACCGUGGAGAUGAGCGGAAUAUGUCAUGUAGCGGUGAAAUGCUUAGAUAUGACAUAGAACACCGAUUGCGAAGGCAGCUCGUUACACGCAUAUUGACUCUGAGGCACGAAAGCGUGGGGAUCAAACAGG
This 253-nucleotide ribosomal RNA is filed under the name uncultured prokaryote. Its description in RNAcentral is "partial 16S ribosomal RNA". It matches the Rfam family "Bacterial small subunit ribosomal RNA", at positions 524 to 776 of the family's 1533-position model. The record is from RNAcentral.